CCUACGGGUGGCAGCAGUGAGGAAUAUUGGUCAAUGGACGAGAGUCUGAACCAGCCAAGUAGCGUGAAGGAUGACUGCCCUAUGGGUUGUAAACUUCUUUUGCCGGGGAGCAACGGGGUCCUUGCGAGGGCCCGAUGAGAGUACCCGGAGAAAAAGCAUCGGCUAACUCCGUGCCAGCAGCCGCGGUAAUACGGAGGAUGCGAGCGUUAUCCGGAUUUAUUGGGUUUAAAGGGUGCGUAGGCGGGCUGUUAAGUCAGCGGUCAAAUGUCGGGGCUCAACCCCGGCCUGCCGUUGAAACUGGCGGUCUCGAGUGGGCGAGAAGUAUGCGGAAUGCGUGGUGUAGCGGUGAAAUGCAUAGAUAUCACGCAGAACUCCGAUUGCGAAGGCAGCAUACCGGCGCCCGACUGACGCUGAGGCACGAAAGCGUGGGUAUCGAACAGGAUUAGAUACCCGGGUAGUC
Molecule: ribosomal RNA, 460 nt
Filed under: uncultured bacterium
Lineage: Bacteria
Description: partial 16S ribosomal RNA
Rfam family: Bacterial small subunit ribosomal RNA
Source: RNAcentral